RNAcentral lists this small nuclear RNA (130 nucleotides) under Microcebus murinus (gray mouse lemur). RNAcentral describes it as "U1 spliceosomal RNA (ENSMICG00000019170.3)". It matches the Rfam family "U1 spliceosomal RNA", at positions 1 to 115 of the family's 166-position model. Rfam says of the family: U1 is a small nuclear RNA (snRNA) component of the spliceosome (involved in pre-mRNA splicing). Its 5' end forms complementary base pairs with the 5' splice junction, thus defining the 5' donor site of an intron. There are significant differences in sequence and secondary structure between metazoan and yeast U1 snRNAs, the latter being much longer (568 nucleotides as compared to 164 nucleotides in human). The record is from RNAcentral. Lineage: Eukaryota; Metazoa; Chordata; Mammalia; Primates; Cheirogaleidae.
AUACUUCCCUGGCAGGGGAGAUACCAUGGUCACGAAGGUUGUUUUUCAGGGCGAGGCAUAUCCAUUGCACUCUGGAUAUGCUGCCCCCUGCAAUUUCCCCAAAUGUGAAACCAUAGGAAUCCUAGAAGAC